GAUCGAGUAAUUAACUCUCUCAUUUUGUGGAAACGAGUAAUUAACUCUUAAACAUCAAUUUCUCCGAAUAUAAAGAAUAUAAAACUAGCCAAACAAAUUUUUAAAAAACAGCAUUUUUAGGAUUACCCUACAAAAAUAGUUCGAGACUUUUAUAUAUAUGUUUACUUUACAUGUAAGGUUUUCUACCAUAAAACAAUAAAACGUUUCUUUAAAGAGAAAACUACAAUGUCGUUAUCCAAAAUUGUUGUAUUUUGUAUCAUCCUCAUUUCACUGGUUAAUCUUCAUGAAUGCAAUUUUUUUAAAGAUGACAAGCCAUUGACAAAUCCUAUCACAGGAAGAAAGACAGGAAAACCACCAUGCAAACCACAAGGAGAUCAUUUCGUUUGCACUGGCGAUGAACAGCUGACAACGACUACCAUCGCAGGCUGUUGGAGGAACUGCUUAAUAUAUAAUUAACCCAACACCUCCUUUUCAAAGUUUUAAGAAAUUUGAAGAGCAAUUAUAUACCAAUUUAUUUCCUUAUAGUACAGAUAGUAAAUAUUCAUGUGACUUCACUAAAAAUAAUUGUGCCUACCUUAACUUUGCUUAGUAACUUUAAAUGUCUAUGUAAUAUAUACAUAAUACUAAAUUUUUCAUCUC
Long non-coding RNA from Arabidopsis lyrata subsp. lyrata, 639 nucleotides. RefSeq lists it as uncharacterized. The transcript is spliced from 2 exons. The record is from RefSeq and is a predicted model, not a curated record. NCBI's taxonomy places the organism in Eukaryota, Viridiplantae, Streptophyta, Magnoliopsida, Brassicales, Brassicaceae.